This 409-nucleotide ribosomal RNA is filed under the name uncultured Enterobacteriaceae bacterium. RNAcentral's name for it is "bacterial SSU rRNA". It matches the Rfam family "Bacterial small subunit ribosomal RNA", at positions 973 to 1382 of the family's 1533-position model. The record is from RNAcentral. Lineage: Bacteria; Pseudomonadati; Pseudomonadota; Gammaproteobacteria; Enterobacterales; Enterobacteriaceae.
ACCUGGUCUUGACAUCCACGGAAGUUUUCAGAGAUGAGAAUGUGCCUUCGGGAACCGUGAGACAGGUGCUGCAUGGCUGUCGUCAGCUCGUGUUGUGAAAUGUUGGGUUAAGUCCCGCAACGAGCGCAACCCUUAUCCUUUGUUGCCAGCGGUCCGGCCGGGAACUCAAAGGAGACUGCCAGUGAUAAACUGGAGGAAGGUGGGGAUGACGUCAAGUCAUCAUGGCCCUUACGACCAGGGCUACACACGUGCUACAAUGGCGCAUACAAAGAGAAGCGACCUCGCGAGAGCAAGCGGACCUCAUAAAGUGCGUCGUAGUCCGGAUUGGAGUCUGCAACUCGACUCCAUGAAGUCGGAAUCGCUAGUAAUCGUGGAUCAGAAUGCCACGGUGAAUACGUUCCCGGGCCUU